Molecule: ribosomal RNA, 617 nt
Filed under: Arthrobotrys sp. JCM 28449
Lineage: Eukaryota; Fungi; Ascomycota; Orbiliomycetes; Orbiliales; Orbiliaceae
Description: eukaryotic LSU rRNA
Rfam family: Eukaryotic large subunit ribosomal RNA
Source: RNAcentral
GCAUAUCAAUAAGCGGAGGAAAAGAAACCAACAGGGAUUGCCUCAGUAACGGCGAGUGAAGCGGCAACAGCUCAAAUUUGAAAUCUGGAGCCUUCGGCUUCCGAGUUGUAAUUUGAAGAGGAUGUUUCGGUUGCGACCUGGGCCUAAGUUCCUUGGAACAGGACGUCAUGGAGGGUGAGAAUCCCGUACAUGGCUGCAGGUUUGCUUCCAUGUGAAACUCCUUCGAAGAGUCGAGUUGUUUGGGAAUGCAGCUCAAAAUGGGUGGUAAAUUUCAUCUAAAGCUAAAUAUUGGCGGGAGACCGAUAGCGCACAAGUAGAGUGAUCGAAAGAUGAAAAGCACUUUGAAAAGAGAGUUAAACAGUACGUGAAAUUGUUGAAAGGGAAGCGCUUGCAAUCAGACUCGCCUUCAGCUGAUCAACCUUCCUUCUGGUUGGUGCACUCUGCUGUUGGCGGGCCAGCAUCAGUUGGGGCGGUGGGAUAAAGGCGGCAGGAAUGUGGCUCGCUUCGGUGAGUGUUAUAGCCUGUCGUGCCAUGCCACCAGUCCCGACUGAGGUCCGCGGUUCUUGCCUAGGAUGCUGGCUUAAUGGUUGUAAGCGACCCGUCUUGAAACACGGACC